RNAcentral lists this ribosomal RNA (396 nucleotides) under uncultured bacterium. Its description in RNAcentral is "partial 16S ribosomal RNA". It matches the Rfam family "Bacterial small subunit ribosomal RNA", at positions 523 to 918 of the family's 1533-position model. The record is from RNAcentral.
AUACGUAGGUGGAAAGCGUUGUCCGGAUUUACUGGGUGUAAAGGGCGUGUAGGCGGAGAUGCAAGCCAGGAGUGAAAUCUAGGGGCUCAACCCCUAAACUGCUUUUGAAACUGUAUCCCUUGAGUAUCGGAGAGGCAGGGGGACUCUCUAGUGUUGCGGUGAAAUGCGUAGACAUUAGGAGGAACACCAGUGGUGAAGGCGGCCUGCUGGACGACAACUGACGCUGAGGCGCGAAAGCGUGGGGAGCAAACAGGAUUAGAUACCCUGGUAGUCCACGCUGUAAACGAUGAAUACUAGGUGUGGGGGGACUGACCCCCUCCGUGCCGCAGUUAACACAAUAAGUAUUCCACCUGGGGAGUACGAUCGCAAGAUUGAAACUCAAAUGAAUUGACGGGG